RNAcentral lists this long non-coding RNA (336 nucleotides) under Capsella grandiflora. RNAcentral's name for it is "long non-coding RNA (CGRA_LNC000182)". The record is from RNAcentral. Lineage: Eukaryota; Viridiplantae; Streptophyta; Magnoliopsida; Brassicales; Brassicaceae.
UUCCCUAUAUUUUCAAUAAUAUGUAAUUGUGUCGUGAUAUUUUUCGUUCGACCAUUAAAGUUGCUUUGUGCUUAGCUAAAUUAGAUAGUAUCAACAAAUUCACCAUAUUAUUUGAUUAAUAUCACAUAAAACUAAAUCUAAAAGACGUGACUGAAAAAAUUGUAAAAUUCAACAAAUGAUGGUUUUGGUUUUGGUCGUAUAGCUUAAGGUUUUGUGUGGAUCAGAUUUAUUGUUUUGUAUUAAAGGAUAUUAAUUGUGUGUUUUGUCUAAGCGUUAGCUAUUUUUUUCACUGUGAAGCUUAAUCAAUUUCUUAAGAUCAUAUAAAGCAAUGCGUAC